This 252-nucleotide ribosomal RNA is filed under the name uncultured bacterium. Its description in RNAcentral is "partial 16S ribosomal RNA". It matches the Rfam family "Bacterial small subunit ribosomal RNA", at positions 524 to 776 of the family's 1533-position model. The record is from RNAcentral.
UACGUAGGUCCCGAGCGUUGUCCGGAUUUAUUGGGCGUAAAGCGAGCGCAGGUGGCUUAUUAAGUCUGGUGUAAAAGGCAGUGGCUCAACCAUUGUAUGCAUUGGAAACUGGUAGACUUGAGUGCAGGAGAGGAGAGUGGAAUUCCAUGUGUAGCGGUGAAAUGCGUAGAUAUAUGGAGGAACACCGGUGGCGAAAACGGCUCUCUGGCCUGUAACUGACACUGAGGCUCGAAAGCGUGGGGAGCAAACAGG